CCUACGAGAGGCUGCAGUGGGGAAUAUUGCACCAAGGGGGGAACCCUGAUGCAGCAAUGCCGCGUGAAGGAUGAAGGUUUUCGGAUUGUAAACUUCUUUUGUACGGGACGAAGAAAGUGACGGUACCGUAAGAAUAAGCCACGGCUAACUACGUGACAGCAGACGCGGGAAGACGUAGGUGGCAAGCGGUAUCCGGAUUUACUGGGGUGAAAGGGCGAGUAGGCGGGAUUGCAAGUCAGAUGUGAAAACUAUGGGCUCAACCGAUAGAGUGAAUUUGAAACUGCAGUUAUUGAGUGAUGUGGAGGCAGGCGGAAUUCCCGGUGUAGCGGUGGAAUGCGGAGAUAUCGGGAUGAACACCAGUGGCGAAGGCGGCCUGCUGGACAUUAACUGACGCUGAGGCGCGAAAGCGUGGGGAGCAAGCAGGAUUAGAUACCCUAGUAGUC
This 443-nucleotide ribosomal RNA is filed under the name uncultured bacterium. Its description in RNAcentral is "partial 16S ribosomal RNA". It matches the Rfam family "Bacterial small subunit ribosomal RNA", at positions 338 to 795 of the family's 1533-position model. The record is from RNAcentral.